This 90-nucleotide transfer RNA is filed under the name Planctomycetota bacterium. RNAcentral's name for it is "tRNA-Leu". It matches the Rfam family "tRNA". From Rfam's summary of the family: Transfer RNA (tRNA) molecules are approximately 80 nucleotides in length. Their secondary structure includes four short double-helical elements and three loops (D, anti-codon, and T loops). Further hydrogen bonds mediate the characteristic L-shaped molecular structure. tRNAs have two regions of fundamental functional importance: the anti-codon, which is responsible for specific mRNA codon recognition, and the 3' end, to which the tRNAs corresponding amino acid is attached (by aminoacyl-tRNA synthetases). tRNAs cope with the degeneracy of the genetic code in two manners: having more than one tRNA (with a specific anti-codon) for a particular amino acid; and 'wobble' base-pairing, i.e. permitting non-standard base-pairing at the 3rd anti-codon position. The record is from RNAcentral. RNAcentral also lists the same sequence under 1 other name. Lineage: Bacteria; Pseudomonadati; Planctomycetota.
GCCGGGAUGGCGGAAUUGGCAGACGCGCCAGGUUGAGGGCCUGGUGACCCUAAUACGGUCUUUCGGGUUCAAGUCCCGAUCCCGGCACCA